RNAcentral lists this ribosomal RNA (461 nucleotides) under Sertularella mediterranea. RNAcentral's name for it is "partial 16S ribosomal RNA". It matches the Rfam family "Bacterial large subunit ribosomal RNA", at positions 1919 to 2542 of the family's 2925-position model. The record is from RNAcentral. Lineage: Eukaryota; Metazoa; Cnidaria; Hydrozoa; Leptothecata; Sertulariidae.
AAAAUUAAAAGGACGCGGUAACCUUGACCGUGAUAAUGUAGCAUAAUCAUUCGCCAUUUAAUUGAUGGAUAGUAUGAAUGGUUGAACGAAUAUUCCACUGUCUUAAGAAGAAAUAAUAAAAAAUUAGAAUAAUAGUAAAGAUUCUAUUUAAGAUUGUAAGACGAAAAGACCCUAUAGAGCUUAACUAUAAAUUUUCUAUAUAACUAAUUAUAGCAGAAAAUUUGGUAGUUUAGUUGGGGCGACUGUCUUUUAAAAAUAACAAAGACAAGCAAAUAUUAAUACUAAAAUUUAUUGUAUAACUAAUAAAUUUAACAAUUACAAAAGUAGGCUAUAAUGACCCGUUAUUAUUUAAUAAGAAAAAUAACGAUCAAUAAAUAAAAGCUACCUUAGGGAUAACAGGAUAAUUUUAUUCUAGAGAUCUAAUCGAAAAUAAAGUUUGUCACCUCUAUGUUGAAUUAAGA